GAGGGCAUAGCUCAAGUGGUAGAGCGCAGGCCUAGCCUGCCUGAGGUCCUGGGUUCAAUCCCCAGCACCUCCA
RNAcentral lists this transfer RNA (73 nucleotides) under Camelus bactrianus (Bactrian camel). It matches the Rfam family "tRNA". Rfam says of the family: Transfer RNA (tRNA) molecules are approximately 80 nucleotides in length. Their secondary structure includes four short double-helical elements and three loops (D, anti-codon, and T loops). RNAcentral also lists the same sequence under 1 other name. Lineage: Eukaryota; Metazoa; Chordata; Mammalia; Artiodactyla; Camelidae. The record is from Rfam by way of RNAcentral.